CUGAGAUUGUAGGAAAUUCCGAGUUACAUUUUCCAGCCUCUCGGGCCAGAAGUCUCCACUACGUCCUGGGAAACAUAUAUCAAAUGGAGUUGAAGAGAAAAAGGGAGUGAGCAACCAAGUGAGCAAAUAUUAGGCCAGCUCUCGGAGUUGGAGGUGACUGAGGCCACAGGAAAUGAUGGAGACCUCAGAGAUCAUCUGGGAACACCCUCCUCCUCUGGGACCUAUCUGCAGUUCUCUUCCCAUGCUGUGCCCUUUGCCUUUGGCCUUCCUUCACAUGCUGGUCCCUGCGUCCAGAUCACUCUCGGCCCCUCUUUUGUCUGAUUGGUUGGCCCUUCGACUUACGCAUCGCUCUUUUGGAGAAGGUUUCCCUGAGUCCUGUUUUAGCUAUCCCUCGAAUGCACUCCUGGCAUAUCCGGUGUUCACUGGAAUGUAAUUGGCCAUUUUCACUCUAGUACUUCCUAAAUAAUGCUUAAUGUGCGAUAAU
This is a long non-coding RNA of Physeter macrocephalus (sperm whale), 484 nucleotides long. RefSeq lists it as uncharacterized. NCBI's taxonomy places the organism in Eukaryota, Metazoa, Chordata, Mammalia, Artiodactyla, Physeteridae. The transcript has 3 exons. The record is from RefSeq and is a predicted model, not a curated record.